AGGCAGCAGCAGGGAAUAUUGCACAAUGGGCGAAAGCCUGAUGCAGCGACACCGCGUGCGGGAUGAAGGCCUUCGGGUUGUAAACCGCUUUCAGGAGGGAAGAAACUGACGGUACCUCCAGAAGAAGCUCCGGCCAACUACGUGCCAGCAGCCGCGGUAAUACGUAGGGAGCAAACGUCGUCCGGAUUUAUUGGGCGUAAAGGGCUCGUAGGCGGUUCAACAAGUCGGUCGUGAAAGCCCGGGGCUCAACCCCGGGACGCCGGUCGAAACUGUUGUGACUUGAGUUCGGUAGAGGUGAGUGGAAUUCCCGGUGUAGCGGUGGAAUGCGCAGAUAUCGGGAGGAACACCAUUAGCGAAGGCGGCUCACUGGGCCGAUACUGACGCUGAGGAGCGAAAGCGUGGGGAGCAAACAGGAUUAGAUACCCUGGUAGUCCACGCCGUAAACGAUGAACACUAGGUGUAGCGGAUUGAUUCACAUCUGCUGUGCCGUAGCUAACGCAUUAAGUGUUCCGCCUGGGGAGUACGGCCGCAAGGCUAAAACUCAAAUGAAUUGACGG
Molecule: ribosomal RNA, 557 nt
Filed under: uncultured Actinomycetes bacterium
Lineage: Bacteria; Bacillati; Actinomycetota; Actinomycetes
Description: bacterial SSU rRNA
Rfam family: Bacterial small subunit ribosomal RNA
Source: RNAcentral